Molecule: small RNA, 29 nt
Filed under: Bombyx mori (domestic silkworm)
Lineage: Eukaryota; Metazoa; Arthropoda; Insecta; Lepidoptera; Bombycidae
Description: ovarian small RNA-8875
Source: RNAcentral
UGUAACAAUAUCAAUCGGUACACCGAAUC